This 402-nucleotide ribosomal RNA is filed under the name uncultured bacterium. Its description in RNAcentral is "bacterial SSU rRNA". It matches the Rfam family "Bacterial small subunit ribosomal RNA", at positions 355 to 773 of the family's 1533-position model. The record is from RNAcentral.
UAGGGAAUAUUGGACAAUGGGCGAAAGCCUGAUCCAGCAACGCCGCGUGCACGAUGACGGCCUUCGGGUUGUAAAGUGCUUUUAGGAGAGAUGAGAAAGGACAGUAUCUCCUGAAUAAGCCUCGGCGAACUACGUGCCAGCAGCCGCGGUAAAACGUAGGAGGCGAGCGUUAUCCGGAUUUAUUGGGCGUAAAGCGCGUGCAGGCGGUUUGGAAAGUUGGAUGUGAAAGCUCCUGGCUUAACUGGGAGAGGUCGUUCAAAACUACCAGACUAGAGAAUGGGAGAGGGAAGUGGAAUUCCGGGUGUAGUGGUGAAAUGCGUAGAUAUCCGGAGGAACACCAGUGGCGAAAGCGGCCUCCUGGCUCAAAACUGACGCUCAGACGCGAAAGCUAGGGUAGCAAAC